GACGAACGCUGGCGGCGUGCUUAACACAUGCAAGUCGAACGGUAAGGCGCUGUCUUUGUGGGGGGCUCGAGUUGCGAACGGAUGAGGAACACGUGAGUAACCUGCCCUUGACUCUUGUAUAACUUAACGAAAUUGGGGCGUAUAUCGGAUAGGAGCUUCUGCGGCAUUGUGGUGGUUGGACAGGUGCGGCGGUUGGGGAUGGACUGGCGGCGUAUCAGCUUGUUGGGCGGGUAGGGGCUUAACUAGGCUUGGACGGGUAGCCGGCCUGAGAGGGAGAGCGGCCACAUUGGGACUGGUACACGGCGCAGACGCCUACGGGAGUGAGCAGUGGGGACAAGUGCGCAGUGGGGGGGAGGCUGAUGCGGUAGCGCCGCGUGCGGGAUGACGGCCUUCGGGUUGUAAACCGCUUUCGCCUGUUACGAGGCGUGAGUGACGGUAGUGGGUUAAGAAGCACCGGCUAACUACGUG
RNAcentral lists this ribosomal RNA (468 nucleotides) under uncultured bacterium. RNAcentral's name for it is "partial 16S ribosomal RNA". It matches the Rfam family "Bacterial small subunit ribosomal RNA", at positions 28 to 507 of the family's 1533-position model. The record is from RNAcentral.